CCAUGCCAAUUCCGAACGGUAACAGGUCUAUCAGAAUGCUGAACUAUUGGCGAACGGGUGAGUAAUACAUCGGAACGUGCCUAAUAGUGGGGGAUAACUACUCAAAAGAGUAGCUAAUACCGCAUGAGAUCUACGGAUGAAAGCAGGGGACCUUCGGGCCUUGUGCUACUAUAGCGGCUGAUGGCAGAUUAGGUAGUUGGUGGGGUAAAGGCUUACCAAGCCUGCGAUCUGUAACUGGUCUGAGAGGACGACCAACCACACUGGGACUGAGACACGGUCCAAACUCCUACGGAAGGCAACAGUGGGGAAUUUUGGACAAUGGGCGAAAGCCUGAUCCAGCAAUGCCGCGUGCAGGAUGAAGGCCCUCGGGUUGUAAACUGCUUUUGUACGGAACGAAAAGCCUGGGGCUAAUAUCCCCGGGUCAUGACGGUACCGUAAGAAUAACCACCGGCUAACUACGUGCCAGCAGCCGCGGUAAUACGUAGGGUGCAAGCGUUAAUCGGAAUUACUGGGCGUAAAAGCGUGCGCAGGCGGUUUUGUAAGACAGUGGUGAAAUCCCCGGGCUCAACCUGGGAACUGCCAUUGUGACUGCUAGGCUAGAGUGCGGCAAAGGGGGAUGGAAUUCCGCGUGUAACCAUUGAAAUGCGUAGAUAUGCGGAGGAACCCCCGAUGGUGAAGGCAAUCCCCUGGGUCUGCACUGACGCUAUUGCACGAAAACGUGGGAAGCCAAGGGAAUUAAAAUACCCUGGUAUCCCCGGCCCUAACCGAUGUUCACUUGGUUUGGUGGGAAU
Molecule: ribosomal RNA, 791 nt
Filed under: Comamonas sp. S7
Lineage: Bacteria; Pseudomonadati; Pseudomonadota; Betaproteobacteria; Burkholderiales; Comamonadaceae
Description: bacterial SSU rRNA
Rfam family: Bacterial small subunit ribosomal RNA
Source: RNAcentral